Molecule: ribosomal RNA, 532 nt
Filed under: Citrobacter koseri ATCC BAA-895
Lineage: Bacteria; Pseudomonadati; Pseudomonadota; Gammaproteobacteria; Enterobacterales; Enterobacteriaceae
Description: SSU rRNA
Rfam family: Bacterial small subunit ribosomal RNA
Source: RNAcentral
AGAUUGAACGCUGGCGGCAGGCCUAACACAUGCAAGUCGAACGGUAACAGGAAGCAGCUUGCUGCUUCGCUGACGAGUGGCGGACGGGUGAGUAAUGUCUGGGAAACUGCCUGAUGGAGGGGGAUAACUACUGGAAACGGUAGCUAAUACCGCAUAACGUCGCAAGACCAAAGAGGGGGACCUUCGGGCCUCUUGCCAUCAGAUGUGCCCAGAUGGGAUUAGCUUGUUGGUGGGGUAACGGCUCACCAAGGCGACGAUCCCUAGCUGGUCUGAGAGGAUGACCAGCCACACUGGAACUGAGACACGGUCCAGACUCCUACGGGAGGCAGCAGUGGGGAAUAUUGCACAAUGGGCGCAAGCCUGAUGCAGCCAUGCCGCGUGUAUGAAGAAGGCCUUCGGGUUGUAAAGUACUUUCAGCGGGGAGGAAGGUGUUGUGGUUAAUAACCGCAGCAAUUGACGUUACCCGCAGAAGAAGCACCGGCUAACUCCGUGCCAGCAGCCGCGGUAAUACGGAGGGUGCAAGCGUUAAUCG